GUUUGAGUGGCAAGGCCCGGUAGUUGCAAAAGACCUAAGCUCUUUAUAUCAGAAGUUCAAAUCUUCUCUUAAACU
This 75-nucleotide transfer RNA is filed under the name Scolecomorphus vittatus. Its description in RNAcentral is "tRNA-Leu". It matches the Rfam family "tRNA". Rfam says of the family: Transfer RNA (tRNA) molecules are approximately 80 nucleotides in length. Their secondary structure includes four short double-helical elements and three loops (D, anti-codon, and T loops). The record is from RNAcentral. Lineage: Eukaryota; Metazoa; Chordata; Amphibia; Gymnophiona; Scolecomorphidae.